UGUUUGAUGUUCUAACGUGGACCCGUGAUCCGGGUUGCGGACAGUGUCUGGUGGGUAGUUUGACUGGGGCGGUCUCCUCCUAAAGAGUAACGGAGGAGCACGAAGGUUGGCUAAUCCUGGUCGGACAUCAGGAGGUUAGUGCAAUGGCAUAAGCCAGCUUGACUGCGAGCGUGACGGCGCGAGCAGGUGCGAAAGCAGGUCAUAGUGAUCCGGUGGUUCUGAAUGGAAGGGCCAUCGCUCAACGGAUAAAAGGUACUCCGGGGAUAACAGGCUGAUACCGCCCAAGAGUUCAUAUCGACGGCGGUGUUUGGCACCUCGAUGUCGGCUCAUCACAUCCUGGGGCUGAAGUAGGUCCCAAGGGUAUGGCUGUUCGCCAUUUAAAGUGGUACGCGAGCUGGGUUUAGAACGUCGUGAGACAGUUCGGU
RNAcentral lists this ribosomal RNA (425 nucleotides) under Shigella sonnei. RNAcentral describes it as "partial 23S ribosomal RNA". It matches the Rfam family "Bacterial large subunit ribosomal RNA", at positions 2211 to 2635 of the family's 2925-position model. The record is from RNAcentral. Lineage: Bacteria; Pseudomonadati; Pseudomonadota; Gammaproteobacteria; Enterobacterales; Enterobacteriaceae.